GGAGGAGGGGAUUCUUAUAAAAUCUGGCAGCUUACACAUCCUGAAUGAGACAGAUUGGUUUGUUCAGAUAGACUGUGCAUACAAGGAACAAUGAGUAAGAUGACCUGGUGGGUUGCAGCACGACUCAAGAACUUACAUACAACAGGAAGGUGAAGGAAGAGCUUCAUAUCCCGUACAAGCCUGGGUUACCUGAAAAAGUAUUCUAGGUCCUCCCGAGAUCAUGUACCUCAGUGUAGCAAAUCACAGGACUAGUGGCUGCUGCUUUGUACUGGAUGGCUUCUAGUGGUAUGGAUUCCCUUAACCCACAUCUUUCCCAGCUGCACACAGGGAAGAUAAAUAUCUGUUAAAAAUCCUCACCACCAUCACUACCACCCCAGCAAAAAAAACCCUGAGAGAAGAUCUGAGAAUUAGAAAAGAUGCAGGCCAAAGACAGCAGUCCACCAGAUGGUGGCUAUGGAUGGGUUGUGGUAGUGUCAGCCUUCACGGUGAUGGGCCUCACUGCUGCCGUCCUCAAGACUUUUGGUCUGUUCUUUGUUGAAAUCCAGCAGCACUUUGAUGAACUUGCAAGCACCACUUCCUGGAUCACAUCAGUAACUAUUGUCAUCUUUCAUUUAGGAGGGACCAGAAGACUUUCUGCUGAAGAUCAUCUCCAGUUCUUUGAGCAUCUUUCCUGGCCUGGCUUAGUCUUUCUUAAUGUGUUCCUCUGGGAAACCUUCAGUGUCAUUUGGCUCAGUAUGAAGGAUGAUCAGUGAAUUACUAAUUUUUCCUGUUUGGAUCCUUUCAACAGCAGCUCUGUGUCUCAUGUGGAAGGAGAACAUGUGCUUCUACUUUUGGGGUUUGCACCUGCAACAGGCUGUUCAAUUUACCACAGCAAGGAUUCUCCCCAUCACACACACAGACCUUAUCUUGGUACUGAUGUACAUCUCCUAUCACCUUUCUCUUUGCACUGUGAUUAUCAUACUUUUUAAUUGCUUGUAAGUUUUCUGUGUAUUGACCUUUUUCCUUUCAGACUCUGGAACCUAGCAAUCUUCUCCAUUUCCAGUUCUGUGAGUAGCUUCUUUCUUCCUCCUGCUACCCCAUUUUCAAUUUCUGCUUAUUUCUUCUCCUCAUUCCCUGUUAAAAAAAAUUUGCUUUUUGGUAGUAUUUCUGCUCCAACUGCAGACCUUUCUCUUGUCUUUAAGCACUUCCAUGGAUCUCUUGUUAUCCUGAGUCUACUUUUCUUUUGUUCAUCAUAUAUUUAUGAUUCUCCAGGUGUAUAUGCUUUGUCCUGUCUCAUCCCUUCCACUACAUGUUACAGACCAUCACUGAAUUCCAGUGUCGAUUUUACAUGCUUAUCAAAUAAUUUUAUUUUUGCUGUAAAUGCUGAUGAGACAUUUGGAGUUUGUAUAACUUCUGCCAGCUACCUGCUGUCAGACAAUGUACGUCCUGCAGAUUUUGCAGCCAUUAAUAUCUCUCUGCUAGGUUUAUUUCACUUGUCCUAGCUACCAAAUUCUCUUCAUUCUUAUCUUACUUAACACAGGUGAACGUACAAGUUGCCCCUACAAACUACUAUAAACCCUCCCUUGCUGACUGCCCUCUCUUCACUGUCUCCCCACUUAGUUCAGUUUACAAACAUGGUCGUCAUCAACCGAAUUUAAUUUUAUCCUCGAGCUCCAAUUUCCAGAAUAUUAGUAAAUUGUAGGGAGCGCUACAAAGCCUCACCGAGAACCGGUGGUGUCAGGUGUUACUUGGGAUCCCUCUAGUGGCCACGGUUAAUUAAAAAAAAUAAUCCUGUGUUUGUGAUUUGAAACUAUCCCCACAGAACAGAGUGUCUUUCCGUGGUAGGUAUGGCCUUGAUCUUAACGCUGUAAUGCUGAUGGAAAAACAGCCAGGCAGUAUAACUGAUGCUUAAUUAAGCAAAAAUAUCCCUAACAUUUCAGGUGCUUCCAUAUAGCAACUAGAGACCAGUGCUUUGGGGUUUGGAAUUGCUGCACAAAGGCAGAUCUUUGCAACUUUGCAACUCAGGCGCAACUUUGCCCUCAUGUAUUGAAGAGUUCCUGCAGUCUGCUGAGAAAUACUGUACCACUGAAAUAAAAAUUUAAGAAAUGAACAGCAAA
Long non-coding RNA from Buteo japonicus, 2096 nucleotides. NCBI's taxonomy places the organism in Eukaryota, Metazoa, Chordata, Aves, Accipitriformes, Accipitridae. The record is from Ensembl.